CCAGAUACCCAACGGCGGAAUCUCAUUUCUACCGCUUAUAGCCACGAUCUUAUUCUUUCAGUCAUUACCCAAGGCUCAUGACCACAGAUGAGAAUAGGAGCGUGAAUCGACUGGUAAAUUAAGAGCCUCCCCUUCCGGCUCAGCUCCUUCUUUACCAAGAUGGACCGGUACACCCUCCGUAAA
This is a long non-coding RNA of Thalassophryne amazonica, 183 nucleotides long. RefSeq lists it as uncharacterized. The transcript is spliced from 3 exons. The record is from RefSeq and is a predicted model, not a curated record. Lineage: Eukaryota; Metazoa; Chordata; Actinopteri; Batrachoidiformes; Batrachoididae.